This 253-nucleotide ribosomal RNA is filed under the name uncultured bacterium. RNAcentral's name for it is "partial 16S ribosomal RNA". It matches the Rfam family "Bacterial small subunit ribosomal RNA", at positions 524 to 776 of the family's 1533-position model. The record is from RNAcentral.
UACAGAGGGUGCAAGCGUUGUUCGGAAUUACUGGGCGUAAAGCGCGUGUAGGCGGUUUGGUAAGUCCUGUGUGAAAGCCCUGGGCUCAACCCAGGAAGUGCGCAGGAUACUGCUUGACUGGAGUGACGGAGAGGAUGGCGGAAUUCCCGGUGUAGAGGUGAAAUUCGUAGAUAUCGGGAGGAACACCUGUGGCGAAGGCGGCCAUCUGGACGUCAACUGACGCUGAGACGCGAAAGCGUGGGGAGCGAACAGG